GUUUUCAUAGUUUAAAAAAAACAAUGAUUUUGUAAAUCAUAAAUGAUUUAAUCUGAAAGCU
This 61-nucleotide transfer RNA is filed under the name Ceratocombus sp. HL-2012. Its description in RNAcentral is "tRNA-Thr". The record is from RNAcentral. Lineage: Eukaryota; Metazoa; Arthropoda; Insecta; Hemiptera; Ceratocombidae.